GUGAAUCCUGAUGCCUUGCUCAUGGUGCGUUUCUGUGUCAGCAGGAGGAAGUGGGGACUGAGAACCGAAGGAACACCAGAACCAAGCUCACUCCAAAGAAAGCAGAGAGCUCUUCCUCAGGUUGUCGGUUUGACUCCCAGAGCAGCAGGAAGGACGGCACGCUGCAGAAGAUCGGAGACUUCCUGCAGAGCUCCCCGACUCUGCUGGGCUCCAAAGCCAAGAAGAUGAUGAGCCUGGUCAGCGGCCGUCUGGACCCAGACUCAGCAGCCGCCUCUUCCUCCCUCAGCCUGAGGGCCAAGAGGGGCAGAAAGAAACUCUACAGACCUGAAAUCUCCUGCCCCAUGGACAUGCCCCCCCACCCGACCUGGCAGAAGUGACAAAGCCACCAAGCGACGAUGGAAGAAGAGGAAGAAGAGGACACAAGUGUGGAUGAAGAUGAGGAGGAUGGACUAACACUUGGUUGCUUAGCA
Molecule: long non-coding RNA, 470 nt
Organism: Fundulus heteroclitus (mummichog)
Lineage: Eukaryota; Metazoa; Chordata; Actinopteri; Cyprinodontiformes; Fundulidae
Exons: 4
Source: RefSeq, a predicted model, not a curated record